GGGAGUAGAAGGGUAACUGGUGUGCCCUCCGGUCUUCAAAACCGGUAUGAGCAGCAGCCUGCUCGGGUGGGUUCGAUUCCCACCUACUCUCGCCA
Molecule: transfer RNA, 95 nt
Filed under: Eubacteriales bacterium
Lineage: Bacteria; Bacillati; Bacillota; Clostridia; Eubacteriales
Description: tRNA-Sec
Rfam family: Selenocysteine transfer RNA
Source: RNAcentral